AAUCUCAGUAACUAUUGUGACAUAUAUCUGUACGUACUAGUCCAAAGAAUGCACGUAAUGUAUGUAUUUUAUAUCAAUCAUGAGAGAAUAUUGGUGAUCAUAGCGAUUUAAUUAUCACCUUGACUCUCUUAAGUAAAUCAUAGCC
This is a long non-coding RNA of Juglans microcarpa x Juglans regia, 145 nucleotides long. RefSeq lists it as uncharacterized. The record is from RefSeq and is a predicted model, not a curated record. NCBI's taxonomy places the organism in Eukaryota, Viridiplantae, Streptophyta, Magnoliopsida, Fagales, Juglandaceae. The transcript has 3 exons.